AUGCUCGCUUUGGCAGCACGUAUCCUAAAAUUGAAGUGAUGCAGAGAAGAUUAGCAUGGCCCCUGUGCAAGGACGACACGCAAACACACACACAUUACGACUUC
This is a non-coding RNA of Canis lupus familiaris (dog), 104 nucleotides long. The record is from Rfam. Lineage: Eukaryota; Metazoa; Chordata; Mammalia; Carnivora; Canidae.